CUUUACUAUAGCGUGUCAUUGAUAUACGGUGUUUUUUGUUUAGCAUAGGUGGGACUCGGUGAAGUGCUGGCGCUAGCUGGCAUGGAGAGGACAAGUGAAAUACCACCCUGAAGACGUUUUAUAUCUAAUCCUGGAAUAACCAACCGGGAGACAGUGGCUCGUGGGUAGUUUAACUGGGGCGGUUGCCUCCUAAAUGGUAACGGAGGCGUUUAUUAAGGUCAGCUUAGCUCCGAUGGAAACGGAGUGGGACGUGCAAACGCACAAGCUGGCUUGACUGCAAGGCUGGCACGCCGCGCAGGUACGAAAGUAGAAGUUAGUGAUCCGACCAUCCUUCGUGGAAGGGUGGAAGCUCAACGGAUAAAAGUUA
This 367-nucleotide ribosomal RNA is filed under the name uncultured organism. RNAcentral's name for it is "bacterial LSU rRNA". It matches the Rfam family "Bacterial large subunit ribosomal RNA", at positions 2099 to 2465 of the family's 2925-position model. The record is from RNAcentral.